CCUACGGGUGGCAGCAGUGAGGAAUAUUGGUCAAUGGGCUUACGCCUGAACCAGCCAAGUCGCGUGAGGGAAGACUGCCCUAUGGGUUGUAAACCUCUUUUGUCAGGGAGCAAUUGGCGCUACGUGUAGCGUUAUCGAGAGUACCUGAAGAAAAAGCAUCGGCUAACUCCGUGCCAGCAGCCGCGGUAAUACGGAGGAUGCGAGCGUUAUCCGGAUUUAUUGGGUGUAAAGGGAGCGUAGGCGGUGAUGCAAGUCAGAAGUGAAAGCCCGCAGCUCAACUGCGGGACUGCUUUUGAAACUGUAUGACUAGAUUGCAGGAGAGGUAAGUGGAAUUCCUAGUGUAGCGGUGAAAUGCGUAGAUAUUAGGAGGAACACCAGUGGCGAAGGCGGCUUACUGGACUGUAAAGGACGCUGAGGCUCGAAAGCGUGGGGAGCAAACAGGAUUAGAUACCCCAGUAGUC
This 461-nucleotide ribosomal RNA is filed under the name uncultured bacterium. RNAcentral's name for it is "partial 16S ribosomal RNA". It matches the Rfam family "Bacterial small subunit ribosomal RNA", at positions 338 to 795 of the family's 1533-position model. The record is from RNAcentral.